This 231-nucleotide unclassified non-coding RNA is filed under the name Hevea brasiliensis (rubber tree). Lineage: Eukaryota; Viridiplantae; Streptophyta; Magnoliopsida; Malpighiales; Euphorbiaceae. The record is from RNAcentral.
GGACAAAAGAAAGUGAGUAGAUGCAUGGGAAAUAGUGAAAAAGGAUAUAGUGGUCCUAGAUCUUUCAAAAAAUAUAAAACUAAACCAAGUGGAACAGAGAGAGAGGAUCCAUGUAGCUGAGUUCAGUGUCUCUAAUCUCCCUCUUGCUAGAGAUUACACAUGCACUUAAAUUGGGUAUAAGUUCUCCAAUAUCUAGCUUUUAUUCAUUGGUAAAGGGAAAAAUGAUUAAAA